CCUACGGGAGGCAGCAGUGGGGAAUAUUGCGCAAUGGGCGAAAGCCUGACGCAGCGACGCCGCGUGAAGGAAGAAGGCUUUCGGGUUGUAAACUUCUGUUAAGGGGGAAGAGCAGAAGACGGUACCCCUUGAAUAAGCCACGGCUAACUACGUGCCAGCAGCCGCGGUAAUACGUAGGUGGCAAGCGUUGUCCGGAUUUACUGGGUGUAAAGGGCGUGCAGCCGGAGAGUCAAGUCAGAGGUGAAAUCAACGGGCUCAACCCGUGAACUGCAUUUGAAACUGUUUGGCUUGAGUGUCGGAGAGGUGAUUGGAAUUCCUUGUGUAGCGGUGAAAUGCGUAGAUAUAAGGAAGAACACCAGUGGCGAAGGCGGCUUACUGGACGAUAACUGACGGUGAGGCGCGAAAGCGUGGGGAGCAAACAGGAUUAGAUACCCCAGUAGUC
RNAcentral lists this ribosomal RNA (442 nucleotides) under uncultured bacterium. RNAcentral's name for it is "partial 16S ribosomal RNA". It matches the Rfam family "Bacterial small subunit ribosomal RNA", at positions 338 to 795 of the family's 1533-position model. The record is from RNAcentral.